Molecule: transfer RNA, 73 nt
Filed under: Candidatus Nanoarchaeia archaeon
Lineage: Archaea; Nanobdellati; Nanobdellota; Candidatus Nanoarchaeia
Also listed under: 1 other name
Description: tRNA-Cys
Rfam family: tRNA
About the family: Transfer RNA (tRNA) molecules are approximately 80 nucleotides in length. Their secondary structure includes four short double-helical elements and three loops (D, anti-codon, and T loops). Further hydrogen bonds mediate the characteristic L-shaped molecular structure. tRNAs have two regions of fundamental functional importance: the anti-codon, which is responsible for specific mRNA codon recognition, and the 3' end, to which the tRNAs corresponding amino acid is attached (by aminoacyl-tRNA synthetases). tRNAs cope with the degeneracy of the genetic code in two manners: having more than one tRNA (with a specific anti-codon) for a particular amino acid; and 'wobble' base-pairing, i.e. permitting non-standard base-pairing at the 3rd anti-codon position.
Source: RNAcentral
GCGCGGGUAGCCAAGUGGUUAAGGCGGUCGGCUGCAGACCGACUAAUCCUGGGUUCGAAUCCCAGCCCGCGCU